CCUACGGGAGGCAGCAGUGAGGAAUAUUGGUCAAUGGCCGGAAGGCUGAACCAGCCAUGCCGCGUGAAGGUCAGUGCCCUAUGGGCGUUAAACUUCUUUUGUGCGGGAGCAAUAAUGGUCACGUGUGGCCAGACGAGAGUACCGUACGAAUAAGCAUCGGCUAACUCCGUGCCAGCAGCCGCGGUAAUACGGGGGAUGCAAGCGUUAUCCGGAUUUAUUGGGUUUAAAGGGUGCGUAGGCUGUGAGGUAAGUCAGCGGUGAAAUGCCCCCGCUCAACGGGGUGAAGUGCCAUUGAUACUGCCUUGCUGGAAUGCGGAUGCCGUAGGAGGAAUGUGUGGUGUAGCGGUGAAAUGCAUAGAUAUCACACAGAACACCGAUUGCGAAGGCAGCUCACGAAUCCGCGAUUGACGCUGAGGCACGAAAGCGUGGGUAUCAAACAGGAUUAGAUACCCCAGUAGUC
This 460-nucleotide ribosomal RNA is filed under the name uncultured bacterium. Its description in RNAcentral is "partial 16S ribosomal RNA". It matches the Rfam family "Bacterial small subunit ribosomal RNA", at positions 338 to 795 of the family's 1533-position model. The record is from RNAcentral.